UACGUAGGUGGCAAGCGUUGUCCGGAUUUACUGGGCGUAAAGAGCGCGCAGGCGGUCUUUUAAGUCGAAUGUGAAAGCCCCCGGCUCAACUGGGGAGGGUCAUUCGAUACUGAUCGACUUGAAGGCAGGAGAGGGUAGUGGAAUUCCCGGUGUAGUGGUGAAAUGCGUAGAGAUCAUGAGGAAGACCAGUGGCGAAGGCGGGUCUCUGGACAGUUCCUGACACUGAGGCACGAAGGCCAGGGGAGCAAACGGG
RNAcentral lists this ribosomal RNA (253 nucleotides) under uncultured bacterium. RNAcentral's name for it is "partial 16S ribosomal RNA". It matches the Rfam family "Bacterial small subunit ribosomal RNA", at positions 524 to 776 of the family's 1533-position model. The record is from RNAcentral.